Molecule: long non-coding RNA, 3003 nt
Filed under: Homo sapiens (human)
Lineage: Eukaryota; Metazoa; Chordata; Mammalia; Primates; Hominidae
Description: lymphatic endothelial transcriptional regulator lncRNA 1
Source: RNAcentral
GCCUCGCGUGCUAGCGGUGCCCUUGUGAGCCACUGCGUUCUCCAAGGCCAGAACGGGACAGUUGACGAUGGUCGUACUUCUCCAUGUUCUGAGACCAGUUUAAACAAAAACAAAAACCAGACAACAACCUUGCAAGGGAAAGAAUUCAGAGUAAAUAAACAGUCUUUUUCUGGGAAGUAAAAUAUUUCCCUAAGAUGGAGAAAUUGAGAUGAGAGCUCAUCCACAAGAUUACCCAUCAAUGAGCACCAAUAGCAACCAAAUCCACUAGAAGACUGGGAGCUUUUAAGUCAAGAAACUUACAUCAGUAUCAUCAUUCCAAGAAGCGGUAUCCAAGCUGUUUUAUCGAAAGUGCGCAUGGGAGAUAAGACUCUGAGAAUUUAUAGAAACAAACAUUAGAAGGCAGGAAUGUGGAGAGAAGAAAGCUACCUGACAAGGGAAUCUCAGGAUACAAGGAAAACACCAAGCAGAAGCAACUGAUCUGGCAGUGGAAAAAGUAGCUCUCGCGUGUAUUUCAAAGAAGCAACGGUUUUCUGAUUAAGCAGCAUUAUCUUGCAUGUUUUAAUGAGUGACACAAUUACAGUAAAGACUGAAACCAAUUGUCAAGAUGUCAAUGUUGGCUUGGGAUGACUGCAGUAUAAAUCUACUCAUGGAAUUUUACAGAGCAGUAAUAAGAAUAUCAAACAGGUCAUGCACUGUAUUAUCAUUUCAUUGUUAUUUAUGUUUGCCUGGACUUGAUUCAGAGUCUCAGAAACCUCUUAGUCUCAUGACAUUUUUACCUAUUAAAUCAUCAUAUCCUACCAGAAGCCUGUAGAUGAGCCAUUACUUAAAGAAAAUGAAGUUCUAAAAUUAAAUUUGUGUUAUUGUUUAUCUUUGAUUUGUGUAGAGGUCACCACACCUCAUAGCCAUAAAGACACUCAUUAAUCAGAUGAAAAUGAAUGCAUUUAACCAUUCAUUUAUUUUUCAUAAAACCUAUUGAGCAUCUACUAUGUGAUAAACACUGUGAUGACAAUUUCCGGAGAUAUAAAGAAGAUAAAAAAGUGUGUUUUCGAAUUGCUCUUGAUACGACAGAUAAAAUGAUGAACAUGUAAUCAGUGAUGAAAUAUAUUUUAUGUAUGUAAUACUAUGUAUUAGAUACAUAUAUAUUUGUUUUUCUCUGUUCAGGGAAGGCUCUAUGGCAUGAAGCUAUUAUCAUUAUUCAUCAUCUAUUGAAAGGACAUUACUAUGCAUGUCUUCAAGAUUGUACAGUUUAGUUUUUAUAUAAUUGGUGAAGAUAAUUUGCUUUAUACAGGAGAGCUUUCAAACGACAUUUACAUACAUUAACUAAUUUAUCUGUGCUCAAAAUACUUUUCACCUCACAUUUCACAUAAUAAUGCAUAGCAGACAUUCUUUAUCUAGGGGCUUAGCAAAUGCAAGAGGUUGACGUGAGCAGUUCAUUCAUUCAACAACAAAUGCAUUUUGUUGUUAACAAAUAUUAAUAAAUACAUACAUUAAGUCUCUAUCUUGGGUCAUGUAAGUAGUAAUGAACAAAAUAGUUCUUUUCCUUACCUUAUAUGGUGUAUGCAGACUAAUGAGAGAAGAGAGACAUUGUACAACGAAACACAUAAUUAACAAUUGGACAAAUUGUUAUUAGGAAACAGAAUAGUGUUCUGUGGAAGAGAAGAUCAAUGAAAGCACACGAUUUAGAAUCAAGAACAAAGAACACCUGCCUGAGGAAUUGGUACAUGAUCUGAGAAUUGAAGAUCAAAUUAGCCAAAGAGUAUUAGAAAGAGUAUCCCCAAUGCAGGAAAAAUAUAUGCGAAAGUGCCAAAGUAUAAAAUGACAAAUGUAUUUGAGAAACUGAAGAAUGCGAAAGUGCUGAGGAUGUAAUAUACAAGAGGAAAAUAGAUAACAAUGAGACUGGGGAACUAGGCAGGAAGCGUAUCAGAGAGGGCCAAUAGGCUAGACUAUGCUGCAGUAACAAAUAAGUCCUCAAAUAUCAGCGGCAUAGCAAAAAAAAAAAAAAAAAGUUUAUACUAGCUUACACAUAUCAUAGUCUGAUAUAGCAGUGGUGAUAGUAGAUAGAAAACUUCAGCUCUGCCGGACAUGGUGGCUCAUGCCUGUAAUCCCAGCACUUUGGGAGGCUGAGGCAGGUGAUCUCUUGAGGCUAGGUAUUGGAGACCACACUGGCCAACAUGGCAAAACCCCCUCUCUAUUAAAAAUACAAAAAAUUAGCCAGGUGUGGUGCCACACGCUUGUAAUCCCAGUUACUCGGGAGGCUGAGGCACGAGAAUUGCUUAUAUCCUGGAAACGGAGGCUGCAGUAAGCUGAGAUAGUGCCACUGCGCUCCAGCCUGGGCAACAGAGCGAGACCCUGUCUAGGGGCAAAAAAAAAAAGAAAACUUCACCCCAAGCCAUAUAGUCACAGGGGCUGGGGUGGGGAGAGCUACACAGAGAAGGUAUGCAUGCUUUAAUUGCCUUGAUUUACAAGAGGCACUUAUCACUUAAACACAAUUCAAUUGAUGGGAACUAGUUCACAAGGGCCCACCAGGAUGCAAAUGGGCUUGGAAUUGUGGUUUAGUUGCAUGCCCAGUACAAACAAAUGAUUUGGCAAGGUGCUAUCCAGUGUCUAUUUGGAUCACAGGGGAAGAAACUUUGUACUUUAUCCUAAAGGUUACUACAGGGUUGUAACAUUGCUAUGGUCUGAAUGUUUGUGUCCCACCAAAAUUUGGGAGGUUAUUAGGUCAUGAGGGUGGGGCCCUUAUGAAUGAAAUUAGAGCCUUCAUAAAAGAAGCCUGAAAUGUGAUUAUGCCACCGUACUCCAGCCUGGGUGACAAUAGCAGUGAGAACCUGUCUCAAAAAACCCCAAACAAACAAACAAAACCAGACAAAACAAGCAAAAGAGGCCUGAGGGAGCUCAGUUGGCCCACAGAGAGGAAGACACAGGGAGAGUGCAUCCUUUCUGAGCCGGGAAGCAGGAUCUUACUGGACACCAAAUCUGCUGGUACCUUGAUUUUGGACUUCCCAU